RNAcentral lists this ribosomal RNA (253 nucleotides) under uncultured bacterium. RNAcentral's name for it is "partial 16S ribosomal RNA". It matches the Rfam family "Bacterial small subunit ribosomal RNA", at positions 524 to 776 of the family's 1533-position model. The record is from RNAcentral.
UACGUAGGGUGCGAGCGUUAAUCGGAAUUACUGGGCGUAAAGCGUGCGUAGGCGGUUCUCCAAGUCCGUUGUGAAAGCCCCGGGCUCAACCUGGGAAUGGCAGUGGAAACUAGGGGACUGGAAUCUGGCAGAGGGGGGUGGAAUGCCGCGUGUAGCAGUGAAAUGCGUAGAUAUGCGGAGGAACACCGAUGGCGAAGGCAAUCCCCUGGGCCUGCACUGACGCUCAUGCACGAAAGCGUGGGGAGCAAACAGG